AUAGCACUUUGUUUACUCCAUGCUCAUAUGCAACAUCUUCCCAAUCUAUUGGUCUCUCCGACAUUACCACACUUGAGAUCUCCAACCUCCUCUUCCUUUCUAUUUAUAAAAACUUUAAAAGGGCGGUUGUCGAUGCAUAUGUCUAUAAUAAAUAUUGCAGAUCUCGAUAUAGGUCAGCGUUGGAAGGGAAACCACUUCGCCG
This 202-nucleotide long non-coding RNA is filed under the name Sorghum bicolor (sorghum). Its description in RNAcentral is "long non-coding RNA (SBIC_LNC010573)". The record is from RNAcentral. Lineage: Eukaryota; Viridiplantae; Streptophyta; Magnoliopsida; Poales; Poaceae.